Molecule: ribosomal RNA, 498 nt
Filed under: uncultured bacterium
Lineage: Bacteria
Description: partial 16S ribosomal RNA
Rfam family: Bacterial small subunit ribosomal RNA
Source: RNAcentral
GACGAACGCUGGCGGCGUGCCUAAUACAUGCAAGUCGAACGAGAGCGACCGGUGCUUGCACUGGUCAAUCUAGUGGCGAACGGGUGAGUAACACGUGGGUAACCUGCCCAUCAGAGGGGGAUAACAUCCGGAAACGGAUGCUAAAACCGCAUAGGUCUUCGAACCGCAUGGUUUGAAGAGGAAAAGAGGCGCAAGCUUCUGCUGAUGGAUGGACCCGCGGUGCAUUAGCUAGUUGGUGAGGUAACGGCUCACCAAGGCCGUGAUGCAUAGCCGACCUGAGAGGGUGAUCGGCCACAUUGGGACUGAGACACGGCCCAAACUCCUACGGGAGGCAGCAGUAGGGAAUUUUCCGCAAUGGACGCAAGUCUGACGGAGCAACGCCGCGUGAGUGAAGAAGGUUUUCGGAUCGUAAAACUCUGUUGUUAGAGAAGAACAAGUGCUAGAGUAACUGUUAGCGCCUUGACGGUAUCUAACCAGAAAGCCACGGCUAACUACGUG